CCGGCGCUAAACGCCGGGACUGCUUUGGAAACUGUUUAGCUGGAGUGCCGGAGAGGUAAGCGGAAUUCCAAGUGUAGCGGUGAAAUGCGUAGAUAUUAGGAAGAACCCCAGGUGAGAAGGCGGCCUACUGGAGGGUUACUGACGUUGGGGCUUGAAAGCGUGGGGAGCAAACAGGAUUCGAUACCUUGGUAGUCCACGCUGUAAACGAUGAUUGCUAGCUGUAGGUGGGUAUGGACCCAUCGGUGCCGCAGCUAACGCAAUAAGCAAUCCACCUGGGGAGUACGUUCGCAAGAAUGAAACUCAAAGGAAUUGACGGGGACCCGCACAAGCGGUGGAGCAUGUGGUUUAAUUGGAAGCAACGCGAAGAACCUUACCAGGUCUUGACAUCCCGAUGAAAAACCCGUAACGGGGUUCCUUCUUCGGAGCAUCGGAGACAGGUGGUGCAUGGUUGUCGUCAGCUCGUGUCGUGAGAUGUUGGGUUAAGUCCCGCAACGAGCGCAACCCUUAUUCUUAGUAGCCAGCAGGUAAAGCUGGGCACUUUAAGGAGACUGCCGGGGAUAACCCGGAGGAAGGUGGGGAUGACGUCAAAUCAUCAUGCCCCUUAUGAUCUGGGCUACACACGUGCUACAAUGGCGUAACAAAGGGAAGCGAGCCUGCGAGGGUGAGCGAAUCCCAAAAAUAACGUCCCAGUUCGGACUGUAGUUUGCAACCCGACUACACGAAGCUGGAAUCGCUAGUAAUCGCGAAUCAGAAUGUCGCGGUGAAUACGUUCCCGGGUCUUGUACACACCCCCCGUCACACCAUGGGAGUCGGAAAUGCCCGAAGUCUAAGAUUCAACCGCAAGGAGAGAGCAGCCGAAGGCAG
Molecule: ribosomal RNA, 864 nt
Filed under: uncultured organism
Description: SSU rRNA
Rfam family: Bacterial small subunit ribosomal RNA
Source: RNAcentral